UACGUAGGUGGCAAGCGUUGUCCGGAAUUACUGGGUGUAAAGCGCGUGUAGGCGGCAGACCAAGUCGGCGGUGAAAGCGCCCGGCUCAACUGGGCGAGGUCCGUGGAAACUGGUCAGCUGGAGGACGGUAGAGGCGAGUGGAAUUCCCGGUGUAGUGGUGAAAUGCGUAGAGAUCGGGAGGAACACCUGUGGCGAAGGCGGCUCGCUGGGCCGGUCCUGACGCUGAGACGCGAAGGCGUGGGGAGCGAACGG
This 252-nucleotide ribosomal RNA is filed under the name uncultured bacterium. RNAcentral describes it as "partial 16S ribosomal RNA". It matches the Rfam family "Bacterial small subunit ribosomal RNA", at positions 524 to 775 of the family's 1533-position model. The record is from RNAcentral.